CAAGACUCCUACGGGAGGCAGCAGUGGGGAAUAUUGCACAAUGGGGGAAACCCUGAUGCAGCAACGCCGCGUGAGUGAAGAAGUAUUUCGGUAUGUAAAGCUCUAUCAGCAGGGAAGAAGAAAGACGGUACCUGACUAAGAAGCCCCGGCUAACUACGUGCCAGCAGCCGCGGUAAUACGUAGGGGGCAAGCGUUAUCCGGAUUUACUGGGUGUAAAGGGAGCGUAGACGGCGAUGCAAGUCUGAAGUGAAAGGCGGGGGCCCAACCCCCGGACUGCUUUGGAAACUGUAUGGCUGGAGUGCAGGAGAGGUAAGUGGAAUUCCUAGUGUAGCGGUGAAAUGCGUAGAUAUUAGGAGGGACACCAGUGGCGAAGGCGGCUUACUGGACUGUAACUGACGUUGAGGCUCGAAAGCGUGGGGAGCAAACAGGAUUAGAUACCCCUGUAGA
This 447-nucleotide ribosomal RNA is filed under the name uncultured bacterium. RNAcentral's name for it is "partial 16S ribosomal RNA". It matches the Rfam family "Bacterial small subunit ribosomal RNA", at positions 331 to 794 of the family's 1533-position model. The record is from RNAcentral.